UUGGUUGGAUCAGACACAGGCUGUCUGCCUGGAUUUUUCUAGCUCAUAGCUUCGCCAUGCUAAGACGUGUGUACUUGUACAAAGGCCGUUCAGCCUCGGGAUUUACACUCGGCUCAACACGGAUAUGUGAAGAAUGAAGGGACCCUGCAGCAAAAUGGAGAGCGCAACCUCUGACUGAGUGCCUGUUUAUGCAGUCUGACCACCUGUUGAAGGGCUGUUUGAUGAUGAUUUGGACUCCUCUGGGAGAUGAGGACACACCCACAUCUGUUCCAUACUGCAGCCAUUGAUGGUGUGACAGAUGCACACACUGGAAAACCAGCGCCUGGACUUCAUGCAGGAGAGACGGCCUCAGAGAUGGACCAAUCAGAGAGCUCCUUACAUCUCAUUACAUUUCAUAACAGUUAUUAUUUUUUAUUUGCAAUAUCCAGGAUGCGCUCCUUGUUAAAAAUUUCCACUUUGAAAAAUAACAUUUACACUUUUGUCCUCGAUCAGCGUCCCGGAUGCUUCUGUUGCUGCCACAACACCUAACCAUGAAAAUGGUAUAAAGAAGAAGAAGAAAAUAAAAUGGAGACACUUCUUCUGCUGUUUCUCGGAAACUGACAGCGAUACAGAGGCAGAGAGCCCCACUGUAAAGCCACAGAAAAAGUCCCGCUGGUCUAUUUUCAAAUUCUGGAAGAGAAGAAGGCAGGUUGCUCCAGAAACAACAGGGGAACCUGAUAAAAAGAGUGACAAAUUAAAGAACAUGCAGCAGGACUGUACACCUGCCGAGGCAGCACCACCAAAAGAAGACUGCCUAGAAACAAAAGGUCGAGAACUGGUUGCUUCAGAAACAACAGGGGAACCUGAUAAAAAGAGUGACAAGUAAGGGAAACAAAAGGCCAAGAACUGGACGUCAAGCCUCCACUGAACAGUUCAGAGGACCUAGUGUACAGGUCAUAACUACAGACAAUCCCAGCAGCACCCAUAAGGAAUGUGGUGAAAGUUCCAACCAGGUUAGAAACACCACUGAACAUAGUGAGCCAUCAGACCUGAGUUGGGACACUUUGAUUAUGGAGUUUCUGGCACAAGAGGAUGUAUUGGAGCAGGUGUU
This is a long non-coding RNA of Haplochromis burtoni (Burton's mouthbrooder), 1090 nucleotides long. RefSeq lists it as uncharacterized. NCBI's taxonomy places the organism in Eukaryota, Metazoa, Chordata, Actinopteri, Cichliformes, Cichlidae. The record is from RefSeq and is a predicted model, not a curated record. The transcript is spliced from 6 exons.